This is a long non-coding RNA of Haemorhous mexicanus (house finch), 780 nucleotides long. RefSeq lists it as uncharacterized. The transcript is spliced from 2 exons. The record is from RefSeq and is a predicted model, not a curated record. Lineage: Eukaryota; Metazoa; Chordata; Aves; Passeriformes; Fringillidae.
GAAGUUACCAUGGUGGACAAGUAUCCUCUGCAUACAAGCAAUGGCUUUAAUUUGAAGUUUGUAUUUCCUUGCAGGGUUACAUAUGGAAAUGUGAAGACACUGAAGUCAGAAAUACUGCUGAAGGUACCAAGCAACAUCUGAUUUCAGCUACAGAUCAUGAAUUUUAGCCAUAGCAGCAACAGUGACCACAAAACAAACUCUUACUUUCCUGUGGGAUGUCACUGCAGAGCUACACCAUCAAUGCCUCUCCCUGUUGUGCACCAGUCAAACCUGCACAGAAGUGCCACUGGUUAUGUCCUCCCACAUCCGCCAAAGGAAAAUCCUGUAAGCAGGAGUGCUGGGCACAAAGAGCACAAGCAGGAACUUCUGAAUGUGAUGGAGCCCACCUGCACAGAACCAGACUGAAUCCAGCAAAUAUCUCUGGUUACACCCUAUAUACACUAAAGCUAAAUUUAGCCCUGUAUGCUUUACUUGCCAAACAAAUGUAAAAAUUUACUACCACUGAGUGUUGAUACUGCAUCAAAGAAGAGGGUCCACAUCUGAAUUAUCUGGAACAACAGUUCUCAAGCUACAUACAUUUAUAAAUUUAACUGAGUUGUGGACUUUAGUAAGGACUAAUGAAUAAGGUUCUUUGUACUAUAGGCUAAUGCACACAGGUAAUUUCUGGUUUGAACAGAGUGCUGCAGUUUCCUUUCCUUUCUGUAUUUUCCACUCUAUUCUGUAAAGAAUUUCAGUGGUUUGCCUUUUUCUUUGUGUUAAGAAUAAGCAGCUUCAGUUGAA